UGCAGUUGUGUCUGUGCUAACAGACCGUAGAGAACUGAAAAGAAUGAACAUGGAUAUAUAUUACAUUUAAAGACAUUGGUUACGAAAUGGGAUGUUCGCUUUUUGGAGAUGAUUUCACUGUAUGGAAGAGAGUGAGGAACCAGCAAGAUAUCCAACCAUCUGGGCCAGAACCAGCAGCUCCCAGUGAACUCCAGGGAGACCAAAAGUCACUCUUCCUGCAGUAAAGACACAGCGGUGGGGUUCAUGGGGAGAAGGCACAGUUGAUUCUACUGAAUACACCACCCACCGAACCCAAGAUUCAAGAGGCAAAAAGAAGUUGUGACAAUACCUUUGGUUCUUUAAGGACAUUUUGAAGUGAUGUGGAGAAAAGCAGAGUAAGAACAGCAAAGAAAUUCUGGGUCUCCGUGACACGACACCAGGAAGGGAUGGGGUGCAAACUGUGAGGAGAAACUGAAGCAGAUGUUGCAAUGGAGGCCAAGGGAGAACGAGAGAAGGGAGAUAGGAAAUGGUUUGGAUUUUUUGACAGAUGGCUCCCAAAGCCGUACGGAAAUCCCCCGAACCUCCACACUCUCUUUCUGCUCCAGACCCGUUUUGCAGCGCCUGCUGAUGAACCUCCGCUGACUGUCUGUCUCAUUGUAUCGUCUUCUCGUCCGUUCUUGUCUGCCUUAAUUCCGUCUUUCUUUAAUCUGCUGUUUCAUCUUGAAGAAACGCCAGAAAUUCAGCCCUGUGGCGCUCGCAUAAAUAUUAUCUAAGAAAAAUUCUGGGGCUGGAAAGCGAGCAUUAGCUGAAAUAGCCCUCACAGAUGCGCACAGUUGUCCAUUUGAAAUAUUUCCCUCGCCUGCACAUGGCAGCAGUCAGGAGCUCUGGAAUUCAUAAGCAACACAGACAAGUAUGUAUUAAAUCAUGGUAGGGAGAGGUUUAACCUUCAGCUGGAAUGCAGAGCCCUGAAUAAUCCAUUAGCUGCUCAACACUGCUGCUACGAAACUAACUCCAGCGCUAUACAGUGCAGUGGAACAAACGCAGCCCUUAGCGUGCGUGACGUGGACUGUUGCAAAAACAAGACGUAAUCUCCGAAGGAAAGUACGGAAAAAUGCGACACUGAGGAAACCCAGAGAUCUGGAAACAUGGAAAAAAA
This is a long non-coding RNA of Poecilia latipinna (sailfin molly), 1135 nucleotides long. RefSeq lists it as uncharacterized. The record is from RefSeq and is a predicted model, not a curated record. NCBI's taxonomy places the organism in Eukaryota, Metazoa, Chordata, Actinopteri, Cyprinodontiformes, Poeciliidae. The transcript is spliced from 4 exons.